UCUUCCUUGGUCUAGUGGUCAGGAUACCUGCUUGUCAACGAACAACUCGCAGGUGGCCGGGGUUCGAUUCCCCGAGGGAGAG
Molecule: transfer RNA, 82 nt
Filed under: Scedosporium apiospermum
Lineage: Eukaryota; Fungi; Ascomycota; Sordariomycetes; Microascales; Microascaceae
Rfam family: tRNA
About the family: Transfer RNA (tRNA) molecules are approximately 80 nucleotides in length. Their secondary structure includes four short double-helical elements and three loops (D, anti-codon, and T loops).
Source: Rfam by way of RNAcentral